Podarcis lilfordi (Lilford's wall lizard) is the source of this 69-nucleotide non-coding RNA. NCBI's taxonomy places the organism in Eukaryota, Metazoa, Chordata, Lepidosauria, Squamata, Lacertidae. The record is from the annotation of a GenBank genome assembly.
GGCAUAGCUCAGUGAUGGAGCCUCUGCUCUGCAUGCAGAAAAUCCCAGGUUCAAUCCCAAGUAUCUCCA